AGCAGCCGCGGUAAUUCCAGCUCCAAUAGCGUAUAUUAAAGUUGUUGCAGUUAAAAGCUCGUAGUUGAAUUUCGGGAUCAAUACGUCGGUCGUGCUUCGGUACGUACUGGCGUCAUUGAUUUCUCCCUUCUGACGAACCAUGAUGUCAUUAACUUGGUGUCAUGGGAAAUCAGGACUGUUACUUUGAAAAAUUAGAGUGUUUAAAGCAAGCUCGCGCUUGAAUACAUUAGCAUGGAAUAAUGAAAUAUGGACGUUUGAUUCUAUUUUGUUGGUUUCUAGGAUCGACGUAAUGAUUAAUAGGGAUAGUUGGGGGCAUUAGUAUUCAAUUGUCAGAGGUGAAAUUCUUGGAUUUAUUGAAGACUAACUACUGCGAAAGCAUUUGCCAAGGAUGUUUUUCAUUUAAUCAAGAACGAAAGUUAGGGGAUCGAAGACGAUCAGAUACCGUCGUAGUCUUAACCAUAAACUAUGCCGACUAGGGAUCGGAUGAUGUUAAUUUUUUAAUGACUCAUUCGGCGCCUUA
Molecule: ribosomal RNA, 520 nt
Filed under: uncultured Glomus
Lineage: Eukaryota; Fungi; Glomeromycota; Glomeromycetes; Glomerales; Glomeraceae
Description: SSU rRNA
Rfam family: Eukaryotic small subunit ribosomal RNA
Source: RNAcentral